GCGCAGGUGGCGGAAUUUGGUAGACGCGCUGCCUUGAGGUGGCAGUGCCCGUUUAGGGCGUGGAGGUUCAAGUCCUCUCUUGCGCACAA
RNAcentral lists this transfer RNA (89 nucleotides) under Candidatus Zambryskibacteria bacterium CG10_big_fil_rev_8_21_14_0_10_42_12. Its description in RNAcentral is "tRNA-Leu". It matches the Rfam family "tRNA". Rfam says of the family: Transfer RNA (tRNA) molecules are approximately 80 nucleotides in length. Their secondary structure includes four short double-helical elements and three loops (D, anti-codon, and T loops). Lineage: Bacteria; Candidatus Zambryskiibacteriota. The record is from RNAcentral.